RNAcentral lists this ribosomal RNA (253 nucleotides) under uncultured bacterium. Its description in RNAcentral is "partial 16S ribosomal RNA". It matches the Rfam family "Bacterial small subunit ribosomal RNA", at positions 524 to 776 of the family's 1533-position model. The record is from RNAcentral.
UACGUAGGGACCGAGCGUUGUCCGGAUUUAUUGGGCGUAAAGAGCUCGUAGGCGGCUUGUUGCGUCGACUGUGAAAACCCGCGGCUUAACUGCGGGCUUGCAGUUGAUACGGGCAGGCUAGAGUUCGGUAGGGGAGACUGGAAUUCCUGGUGUAGCGGUGAAAUGCGCAGAUAUCAGGAGGAACACCGGUGGCGAAGGCGGGUCUCUGGGCCGAUACUGACGCUGAGGAGCGAAAGCGUGGGGAGCGAACAGG